RNAcentral lists this ribosomal RNA (355 nucleotides) under uncultured bacterium. Its description in RNAcentral is "bacterial SSU rRNA". It matches the Rfam family "Bacterial small subunit ribosomal RNA", at positions 917 to 1263 of the family's 1533-position model. The record is from RNAcentral.
GGACCCGCACAAGUAGUGGAGCAUGUGGUUUAAUUCGAAGAUACGCGCAGAACCUUACCAACACUUGACAUGUUCGUCGCGACUUUGAGAGAUCAAAGUUUUCGGUUCGGCCGGACGAAACACAGGUGCUGCAUGGCUGUCGUCAGCUCGUGUCGUGAGAUGUUGGGUUAAGUCCCGCAACGAGCGCAACCCUCACUUUUAGUUGCCAUCAUUAAAGUUGGGCACUCUGAAAAGAACUGCCAGUGAUAAGCUGGAGGAAGGUGGGGAUGACGUCAAGUCCUCAUGGCCCUUACGUGUUGGGCUACACACGUGCUACAAUGGUAUCUACAACAGGAAAGCAAAAACUGCGAAAGUU